GCUGAUGGCGCAGGGAGG
RNAcentral lists this unclassified non-coding RNA (18 nucleotides) under Chlamydomonas reinhardtii. RNAcentral's name for it is "small RNA Cre_1781". The record is from RNAcentral. Lineage: Eukaryota; Viridiplantae; Chlorophyta; Chlorophyceae; Chlamydomonadales; Chlamydomonadaceae.